GAGUUUGAUCUUGGCUCAGGACGAACGCUGGCGGCGUGCCUAACACAUGCAAGUCGAACGAGAAUCGUAUGACGGAGUUUUCGGACAACUGAGUACGAGGACAGUGGCGGACGGGUGAGUAACGCGUGAGCAACCUGCCUUUCAGUGGGGGACAACAGAGGGAAACUUCUGCUAAUACCGCAUAAUGUGCCGAGGGGGCAUCCCUUUGGCACCAAAGAUUUAUUGCUGAAAGAUGGGCUCGCGUCUGAUUAGAUAGUUGGUGAGGUAACGGCCUACCAAGUCGACGAUCAGUAGCCGGGUUGAGAGACU
RNAcentral lists this ribosomal RNA (309 nucleotides) under uncultured bacterium. Its description in RNAcentral is "bacterial SSU rRNA". It matches the Rfam family "Bacterial small subunit ribosomal RNA", at positions 9 to 301 of the family's 1533-position model. The record is from RNAcentral.